CUCCACCUGUCGCCCCGGAUCAGCCUGCCCCACCGGCUGCAGUUCAUCCCGAUUUGCGGGUGCCAGCUCAUGCACCAUUCGCAAGAUACACCGUCGAGGAUUUGCUUGCCCAGCCCGGACGAGAGGGUUUACACGUUCUGGACCCCGAUAGACCCCCGGGUACUUAUUGGUUUGGGGCUAACAACCGUGUUAGCCGGAGCGUUUCAGAGACGAUGAAGGGAUAUUAUGACGGCCCUUAUCCCAACUGGACCAUGACUCCCGAUCACGUCAAGACGACGUGGUUUAAAUGUUUUGCGGUAAUUAUAUUUACAUAUUAUUAAUAUUUAUAUUGUUAAUUAAAUAAUUAUUUUUUUUUUUCUAAUCUUUUAAAAUGUUUGUUUUUUCAGCAAAGGUGGAACUGGUCCGUAGGAAUCACCGAGAGGGUGAAGAGCGAAUUUAUUGCAAAGGCGAAAACUCGUCUUUGCAACACCGUCUCCGAUUGGAAGGACAAGUGGGAGAUUUACGGCUAUGAGGGGAAGCCGAGCGGGGUCACAAAGGAAGCAUGGGAUGGCCUCAUCACCUAUUGGAACGAACCCAGCUCCAUCCGCAAAGCCAACUCCUGCUCCGCUUCCC
Long non-coding RNA from Brassica napus (rape), 612 nucleotides. RefSeq lists it as uncharacterized. The record is from RefSeq and is a predicted model, not a curated record. Lineage: Eukaryota; Viridiplantae; Streptophyta; Magnoliopsida; Brassicales; Brassicaceae. The transcript has 2 exons.